RNAcentral lists this small RNA (394 nucleotides) under Pongo abelii (Sumatran orangutan). RNAcentral's name for it is "retained intron". The record is from RNAcentral. Lineage: Eukaryota; Metazoa; Chordata; Mammalia; Primates; Hominidae.
GACUGGAGCAGAGUGAGAAGAGGCUAAGGCAGCAGCAGGCAGAGAAGGAUUCACAGAUCAAGAGCAUCAUUGGCAGGCUGAUGCUGGUGGAGGAGGAGCUGCGCCGGGACCACCCCGCCAUGGCUGAGCCGCUGCCAGAACCCAAGAAGAGGCUGCUCGACGCUCAGGUGGAAAUUACAAUGUCAUUUAUCUUCUCCGUGUCCCAUCCCCAUCCAUCCCACUGUCUUUCGUGCACUCACUACACCAGCCACCUAGCCCCAUCACCAUCUGUCUCUCAUAGUCUGCUGUUUGUCCACUGGCUGCUCCUGGCAGCCCCCUAGUGACCCCAUCUUCAUCCCAUCGUCUGUGCCUUUGUCACUCCUGGCAGCGUCAGCCCAACUCCUGUGCCUUCUCA